CAGCCACCACGGUAAUAUGUAGGGUGCAAGCGUUAAUCGGAAUUACUGGGCGUAAAGCGUGCGCAGGCGGUUUGUUAAGACAGAUGUGAAAUCCCCGGGCUCAACCUGGGAACUGCAUUUGUGACUGGCAAGCUAGAGUGUGGCAGAGGGGGGUGGAAUUCCGCGUGUAGCAGUGAAAUGCGUAGAUAUGCGGAGGAACACCGAUGGCGAAGGCAGCCCCCUGGGCCAACACUGACGCUCAUGCACGAAAGCGUGGGGAGUAAACAGGAUUAGAUACCCGCGUAGUCCCUGUCUCUUAUAC
This 301-nucleotide ribosomal RNA is filed under the name uncultured bacterium. RNAcentral's name for it is "partial 16S ribosomal RNA". It matches the Rfam family "Bacterial small subunit ribosomal RNA", at positions 509 to 807 of the family's 1533-position model. The record is from RNAcentral.